UCCGGUUGAUCCUGCCGGUCCCGACCGCUAUCGGGGUGGGGCUAAGCCAUGGGAGUCGUACGCCCCGCCGCUGCGGGGCGUGGCGGACGGCUGAGUAACACGUGGCUAACCUACCCUCGGGAGGGGGAUAACACCGGGAAACUGGUGCUAAUCCCCCAUAGAGGAGGGGGCCUGGAAGGGUCCCUCCUCGAAAAGGUGUGGCGGGGGUUAACGCUGCCGCACCGCCCGAGGAUGGGGCUACGGCCCAUUAGGUAGUUGGCGGGGUAACGGCCCGCCAAGCCGAUAAUGGGUAGGGGCCGUGAGAGCGGGAGCCCCCAGAUGGGCACUGAGACAAGGGCCCAGGCCCUACGGGGCGCACCAGGCGCGAAACCUCCGCAAUGCGGGAAACCGUGACGGGGCCACCCCGAGUGCCCCCUUACGGGGGCUUUUCCCCGCUGUAGGAAGGCGGGGGAAUAAGCGGGGGGCAAGUCUGGUGUCAGCCGCCGCGGUAAUACCAGCCCCGCGAGUGGUCGGGACGAUUAUUGGGCCUAAAGCGCCCGUAGCCGGCUCGACAAGUCUCCUCCUAAAUCCUCGGGCUCAACCCGAGGACUGGAGGAGAUACUGUCGAGCUAGGGGGUGGGAGAGGCCGAGGGUACUCCCGGGGUAGGGGCGAAAUCCUAUAAUCCCGGGAGGACCACCAGUGGCGAAGGCGCUCGGCUGGAACACGCCCGGCGGUGAGGGGCGAAAGCCGGGGGAGCGAACCGGAUUAGAUACCCGGGUAGUCCCGGCUGUAAACGAUGCGGGCUAGGUGUUGGGUGGGCCUAGAGCCCACCCAGUGCCGCAGGGAAGCCGUUAAGCCCGCCGCCUGGGGGGUACGGCCGCAAGGCUGAAACUCAAAGGAAUUGGCGGGGGAGCACCACAAGGGGUGGAGCCUGCGGUUCAAUUGGAGUCAACGCCGGG
RNAcentral lists this ribosomal RNA (939 nucleotides) under uncultured archaeon. RNAcentral describes it as "bacterial SSU rRNA". It matches the Rfam family "Archaeal small subunit ribosomal RNA", at positions 1 to 922 of the family's 1478-position model. The record is from RNAcentral.